Saccostrea echinata is the source of this 366-nucleotide long non-coding RNA. RefSeq lists it as uncharacterized. The record is from RefSeq and is a predicted model, not a curated record. NCBI's taxonomy places the organism in Eukaryota, Metazoa, Mollusca, Bivalvia, Ostreida, Ostreidae. The transcript is spliced from 3 exons.
ACUUAGAGUAUAUUUUUCCUCCGCUUGGAAAUCUUUAAAGAUGAGGACAGCCGUGUUGCUUCUUCUGUUGUGUCUUCUCUCUUUGGUUAUUGUUGAUCCUGUAGUUAGUCACGGCGGAUAUGUGAGAAGAUGUAGCAAUAGAGAGUGUUACAGAUACUGCCGGCUCAGAGGGUACCUCACUGGAUCCUGUAGACGCUCCUUCUACUGUCCGAGACACGGGCCAAGCUGUAGAUGUUAUAUACGGAGACCAUACUCUGGUGGCUGAAUUAUAAGGACUAAUUACCUUACGAAAGAACAUGGCGCUCGGAAUACUGUGAAAAUCAGAAAAGCCAGUGAUUUAAAUGUAUUAUGUUAUAAAUAUAGAUG